RNAcentral lists this long non-coding RNA (232 nucleotides) under Linum usitatissimum (flax). RNAcentral's name for it is "long non-coding RNA (LUSI_LNC002890)". The record is from RNAcentral. Lineage: Eukaryota; Viridiplantae; Streptophyta; Magnoliopsida; Malpighiales; Linaceae.
UCAAAGGCUGUUUGUUUCCAAGGGAAAAAUUAAUUAUUAUUGAGAUUUGUUUUCUUUUUUGUUUGGCCAGAUUCUGAAGAGGAGAGAGUCUGAAAUAGUCAGUUGUUAUUUUCUUUUUUAGGUUUUUAGGUGGGGUAAAAAUAUAGAGAGGUCAAGAGAUUUGGCGUCAGUUGGGUCAGUUGGGAGGCCUGAAGAAUAGGCUAUCGCUAUAAAGGAACUCUCCUUCAUUUUG